RNAcentral lists this ribosomal RNA (398 nucleotides) under uncultured soil bacterium. Its description in RNAcentral is "bacterial SSU rRNA". It matches the Rfam family "Bacterial small subunit ribosomal RNA", at positions 26 to 418 of the family's 1533-position model. The record is from RNAcentral.
AGAACGAACGCUGGCGGCGGGCCUCAUACAUGCAAGUCGAGCGCGAAAGUCCGCAAGGAUGAGUAAAGCGGCGCACGGGUGAGUAACACGUGGAUAAUCUACCCUUUGGAUUGGAAUAACCUGUCGAAAGACGGGCUAAUGCCGAGUAAGCUUCCUUGAACGUAAAGUUCGAGCAAGGAAAGAUGGCGCAAGCUAUCGCCGAUGGAUGAGUCUGCGUCCCAUUAGUUAGUUGGUGGGGUAAUGGCUUACCAAGACAAUGAUGGGUACCUGGUUUGAGAGAAUGACCAGGCACACUGGAACUGAAACACGGUCCAGACUCCUACGGGAGCAGCAGUAGGGAAUAUUGCGCAAUGGACGAAAGUCUGACGCAGCCACGCCGCGUGAGUGAGGAGGCCGUU